GACGAACGCUGGCGGCGUGCUUAACGCAUGCAAGUCGAACGGAAAGGCCCUGCUUGCAGGGUGCUCGAGUGGCGAACGGGUGAGUAACACGUGGGUGAUCUGCCCUGCACUUCGGGAUAAGCCUGGGAAACGGGGUCUAAUACCGGAUAGGAGCUAUGUUUAGUGUGAUGGUUGGAGAGAUUUUUUGGUGUAGGAUGAGCUCGCGGCCUAUCAGCUUGUUGGUGGGGUGAUGGGCUACCAACGCGGCGCCGGGUAGCCGGCCUGGGGGGGUGGACGGCCAAAAUGGGACUGAGGACCGGCCCAGACUCCGACCGGAGGCAACAGGGGGGAAUAAUGCACAAUGGGCGGAAGCCUGAUGCAGGCACGGCGCGUGGGGGAUGACGGGCUUCCGGUUGGAAAAUCCCUUCGCUAGGGACGAAGCUUUUUGUGACGGUACCUAGAGAAGAAGCACCGGCUAACUACGUG
RNAcentral lists this ribosomal RNA (465 nucleotides) under uncultured bacterium. RNAcentral's name for it is "partial 16S ribosomal RNA". It matches the Rfam family "Bacterial small subunit ribosomal RNA", at positions 28 to 507 of the family's 1533-position model. The record is from RNAcentral.